GAUGAACGCUAGCGGCAGGCCUAAUACAUGCAAGUCGAGGGGUAGAAGAGGCUUGCUUCUUUGAGACCGGCGCACGGGUGCGUAACGCGUAUGCAACCUACCUUCAUCUGGGGGAUAGCCCGGAGAAAUCCGGAUUAAUACCGCAUAAAAUCACAGGAUGGCAUUAUCCAAUGAUCAAACAUUUAUGGGAUGGAGAUGGGCAUGCGUGUCAUUAGCUAGUUGGCGGGGUGACGGCCCACCAAGGCGACGAUGACUAGGGGAUCUGAGAGGAUGGCCCCCCACACUGGUACUGGGACACGGACCAGACUCCUACGGGAGGCAGCAGUAAGGAAUAUUGGUCAAUGGAGGCAACUCUGAACCAGCCAUGCCGCGUGCAGGAAGACUGCCCUAUUGGUUGUAAACUGCUUUUAUUCGGGAAUAAACCUUAUUACGUGUAAUAAGCUGAAUGUACCGAAGGAAUAAGGAUCGGCUAACUCCGUGCCAGCCGCCGCGGUAA
RNAcentral lists this ribosomal RNA (496 nucleotides) under uncultured bacterium. Its description in RNAcentral is "partial 16S ribosomal RNA". It matches the Rfam family "Bacterial small subunit ribosomal RNA", at positions 28 to 523 of the family's 1533-position model. The record is from RNAcentral.